UGUGUAGGCGGUUCUUUAAGUUUGGUGUGAAAUCUCCCGGCUCAACUGGGAGGGUGCGCCGAAUACUGAGGGACUAGAGUACGGGAGAGGAAAGUGGAAUUCCUGGUGUAGCGGUGAAAUGCGUAGAUAUCAGGAGGAACACCGGUGGUGUAGACGGCUUUCUGGACCGACACUGACGCUGAGACACGAAAGCGUGGGUAGCAAACAGGAUUAGAUACCCUGGUAGUCCACGCCCUAAACGAUGCAUAUUUGGUGUGGGCAGUUCAUUCUGUCUGUGCCGGAGCUAACGCGUUAAAUAUGCCGCCUGGGGAGUACAGUCGCAAGGCUGAA
RNAcentral lists this ribosomal RNA (330 nucleotides) under uncultured bacterium. RNAcentral describes it as "bacterial SSU rRNA". It matches the Rfam family "Bacterial small subunit ribosomal RNA", at positions 568 to 898 of the family's 1533-position model. The record is from RNAcentral.